GGGGGCGUAGCUCAGUUGGUAGAGCACCUGGUUUGCAACCAGGCGGCCGUGGGUUCGAGUCCCGUCGCCUCCACCA
This 76-nucleotide transfer RNA is filed under the name Planctomycetota bacterium. RNAcentral's name for it is "tRNA-Ala". It matches the Rfam family "tRNA". From Rfam's summary of the family: Transfer RNA (tRNA) molecules are approximately 80 nucleotides in length. Their secondary structure includes four short double-helical elements and three loops (D, anti-codon, and T loops). The record is from RNAcentral. Lineage: Bacteria; Pseudomonadati; Planctomycetota.